This 1189-nucleotide ribosomal RNA is filed under the name Aspergillus tubingensis. RNAcentral describes it as "eukaryotic LSU rRNA". The stretch from base 555 to 1189 matches the Rfam family "Eukaryotic large subunit ribosomal RNA", at positions 1 to 612 of the family's 3401-position model. Lineage: Eukaryota; Fungi; Ascomycota; Eurotiomycetes; Eurotiales; Aspergillaceae. The record is from RNAcentral.
AUCAUUCGGGCUCCUGACUCUACAUCAUCAUUACCGAGUGCGGGUCUUUAUGGCCCAACCUCCCACCCGUGACUAUUGUACCUUGUUGCUUCGGCGGGCCCGCCAGCGUUGCUGGCCGCCGGGGGGCGACUCGCCCCCGGGCCCGUGCCCGCCGGAGACCCCAACAUGAACCCUGUUCUGAAAGCUUGCAGUCUGAGUGUGAUUCUUUGCAAUCAGUUAAAACUUUCAACAAUGGAUCUCUUGGUUCCGGCAUCGAUGAAGAACGCAGCGAAAUGCGAUAACUAAUGUGAAUUGCAGAAUUCAGUGAAUCAUCGAGUCUUUGAACGCACAUUGCGCCCCCUGGUAUUCCGGGGGGCAUGCCUGUCCGAGCGUCAUUGCUGCCCUCAAGCCCGGCUUGUGUGUUGGGCCCUCGUCCCCCGGCUCCCGGGGGACGGGCCCGAAAGGCAGCGGCGGCACCGCGUCCGGUCCUCGAGCGUAUGGGGCUUCGUCUUCCGCUCCGUAGGCCCGGCCGGCGCCCGCCGACGCAUUUAUUUGCAACUUGUUUUUUUCCAGGUUGACCUCGGAUCAGGUAGGGAUACCCGCUGAACUUAAGCAUAUCAAUAAGCGGAGGAAAAGAAACCAACCGGGAUUGCCUCAGUAACGGCGAGUGAAGCGGCAAGAGCUCAAAUUUGAAAGCUGGCUCCUUCGGGGUCCGCAUUGUAAUUUGCAGAGGAUGCUUCGGGUGCAGCCCCCGUCUAAGUGCCCUGGAACGGGCCGUCAUAGAGGGUGAGAAUCCCGUAUGGGGCGGGGUGUCUGCGUCCGUGUGAAGCUCCUUCGACGAGUCGAGUUGUUUGGGAAUGCAGCUCUAAAUGGGUGGUAAAUUUCAUCUAAAGCUAAAUACUGGCCGGAGACCGAUAGCGCACAAGUAGAGUGAUCGAAAGAUGAAAAGCACUUUGAAAAGAGAGUUAAACAGCACGUGAAAUUGUUGAAAGGGAAGCGCUUGCAACCAGACUCGCUCGCGGGGUUCAGCCGGGCUUCGGCCCGGUGUACUUCCCCGCGGGCGGGCCAGCGUCGGUUUGGGCGGCCGGUCAAAGGCCUCCGGAAUGUAGCGCCCUUCGGGGCGCAUUAUAGCCGGGGGUGCAAUGCGGCCAGCCUGGACCGAGGAACGCGCUUCGCACGUCGCUGCAAAAGGUACACCCGGAAAAACGGC